This 1436-nucleotide ribosomal RNA is filed under the name bacterium. Its description in RNAcentral is "bacterial SSU rRNA". It matches the Rfam family "Bacterial small subunit ribosomal RNA". The record is from RNAcentral.
UGCCUAAUACAUGCAAGUCGAGCGAACAGAUGAGAAGCUUGCUUCUCUGAUGUUAGCGGCGGACGGGUGAGUAACACGUGGGUAACCUACCUAUAAGACUGGGAUAACUCCGGGAAACCGGGGCUAAUACCGGAUAAUAUUUUGAACCGCAUGGUUCAAUAGUGAAAGACGGUUUCGGCUGUCACUUAUAGAUGGACCCGCGCCGUAUUAGCUAGUUGGUAAGGUAAUGGCUUACCAAGGCGACGAUACGUAGCCGACCUGAGAGGGUGAUCGGCCACACUGGAACUGAGACACGGUCCAGACUCCUACGGGAGGCAGCAGUAGGGAAUCUUCCGCAAUGGGCGAAAGCCUGACGGAGCAACGCCGCGUGAGUGAUGAAGGUCUUCGGAUCGUAAAACUCUGUUGUUAGGGAAGAACAAAUUUGUUAGUAACUGAACAAGUCUUGACGGUACCUAACCAGAAAGCCACGGCUAACUACGUGCCAGCAGCCGCGGUAAUACGUAGGUGGCAAGCGUUAUCCGGAAUUAUUGGGCGUAAAGCGCGCGUAGGCGGUUUCUUAAGUCUGAUGUGAAAGCCCACGGCUCAACCGUGGAGGGUCAUUGGAAACUGGGAAACUUGAGUGCAGAAGAGGAGAGUGGAAUUCCAUGUGUAGCGGUGAAAUGCGCAGAGAUAUGGAGGAACACCAGUGGCGAAGGCGGCUCUCUGGUCUGUAACUGACGCUGAUGUGCGAAAGCGUGGGGAUCAAACAGGAUUAGAUACCCUGGUAGUCCACGCCGUAAACGAUGAGUGCUAAGUGUUAGGGGGUUUCCGCCCCUUAGUGCUGCAGCUAACGCAUUAAGCACUCCGCCUGGGGAGUACGACCGCAAGGUUGAAACUCAAAGGAAUUGACGGGGACCCGCACAAGCGGUGGAGCAUGUGGUUUAAUUCGAAGCAACGCGAAGAACCUUACCAAAUCUUGACAUCCUUUGACCGCUCUAGAGAUAGAGUCUUCCCCUUCGGGGGACAAAGUGACAGGUGGUGCAUGGUUGUCGUCAGCUCGUGUCGUGAGAUGUUGGGUUAAGUCCCGCAACGAGCGCAACCCUUAAGCUUAGUUGCCAUCAUUAAGUUGGGCACUCUAGGUUGACUGCCGGUGACAAACCGGAGGAAGGUGGGGAUGACGUCAAAUCAUCAUGCCCCUUAUGAUUUGGGCUACACACGUGCUACAAUGGAUAAUACAAAGGGCAGCGAAUCCGCGAGGCCAAGCAAAUCCCAUAAAAUUAUUCUCAGUUCGGAUUGUAGUCUGCAACUCGACUACAUGAAGCUGGAAUCGCUAGUAAUCGUAGAUCAGCAUGCUACGGUGAAUACGUUCCCGGGUCUUGUACACACCGCCCGUCACACCACGAGAGUUUGUAACACCCGAAGCCGGUGGAGUAACCUUUUAGGAGCUAGCCGUCGAA